AUAGUUAAGAAGAUAUGCCAGAUGGGAAUAUUUUAGCAGCCACAAGAACAGUUGCUGAAGUUCUGUUCUCAGGCACUGCAGUGUUGCUCCCACAGGGGAGCAUGGAGCUGGCCCACGCAUCCCGCGAGAACACGGGAGGGAGUCAUUCCAUGUCUGCCCACAGCUCACAGGUCAUGGUAUUUUUAUGCUGCACAUAAAAACACAUGAAGGGAGAUUGCAAGAUCCCUGCUGGAGAAGAAGGGCCACGUGCAAAUUGCAAGCACCUGAAUUAACAUGAUGUAGAGGAAGGCUGAUGUCUGUCACUUCCAUGAAUGUGUCCUCUGAACAAAGAAGGCAAAGGACCUGGGGCAGGCGUUGAGGAGAACAGCCCUGAGGUGGGUCAUCACCGCUGCAGCGGCCCAGGAGCGCUGAAUUCCAGCUUGCGAGGCUGUCCUGUAAGGUGCCCAGCUCACCUGCUCAGUUCCCUGGAGAAAUACUGAGGCCACAGGAAAAUGGGUCCUGAAGACUGAGAGUCCCAGGAAGAGGCAACACUGAGACCAAGACAGAAAUAACUGCACCGAGAGAGACAGGGGCAGAAAAAGGGAGAGGAAGAGGAUGAGGGAGAGAAGGAGAGAAGGGUCCUUGAGGAAUCGCCACACUGUCUUCCACAAUGGUUGCACUAAUUUGCACUCCCACCAACAGUGUAAAGGUGUUCCUAUUUCUCCGGAUCCUCUCCAGCAUCUGUUGUUUCCUGAUUUCUUAAUGCUCACUCAUCUGACUGGCGUGAGAUGAUAUCUCACUGUGGUUUUCAUUUGCAUCUCUCUGAUGACCAGUGAUGAUGAAUGUUUUUUUCAUAUGUUUGUUGACCUCAUAAAUGUCUUCUGUUGAGAAGUGUCUGUUCAGGCUGAUUGUUAACUUGGCAUCAAACUGAAAGUUUUCUUAAAUUUGCUAUUUGAAAGCUUCAAUAAUUAUAAUAAAGAUAACUUGCUUUUGUGUAGUGUUUAA
Long non-coding RNA from Callithrix jacchus (white-tufted-ear marmoset), 984 nucleotides. RefSeq lists it as uncharacterized. Lineage: Eukaryota; Metazoa; Chordata; Mammalia; Primates; Cebidae. The record is from RefSeq and is a predicted model, not a curated record.